CCGCCCUUAGCUCAGUGGAUAGAGCAUCGGUUUUCUAAACCGAGGGUCCCAAGUUCGAGUCUUGGAGGGCGGGCCA
RNAcentral lists this transfer RNA (76 nucleotides) under Alphaproteobacteria bacterium MarineAlpha5_Bin12. Its description in RNAcentral is "tRNA-Arg". It matches the Rfam family "tRNA". From Rfam's summary of the family: Transfer RNA (tRNA) molecules are approximately 80 nucleotides in length. Their secondary structure includes four short double-helical elements and three loops (D, anti-codon, and T loops). RNAcentral also lists the same sequence under 1 other name. The record is from RNAcentral. Lineage: Bacteria; Pseudomonadati; Pseudomonadota; Alphaproteobacteria.